RNAcentral lists this ribosomal RNA (415 nucleotides) under Silpha environmental sample. RNAcentral describes it as "partial 28S ribosomal RNA". The stretch from base 1 to 361 matches the Rfam family "Eukaryotic large subunit ribosomal RNA", at positions 40 to 358 of the family's 3401-position model. The record is from RNAcentral. Lineage: Eukaryota; Metazoa; Arthropoda; Insecta; Coleoptera; Silphidae.
AUAUCACUAAGCGGAGGAAAGAACUAACUAGGAUGUCCUUAGUAACGGCGAGUGAAGCGGACAUAGCUCAAAUUUAAAUCUAGAGGUCCUUCAGGGCCUCUCGAAUUGUAGUUUACCGAUCGGACGUCACGGGGGGUGGCGCAGUACGAUACCUUCCGAGAGACACUCGUAGAGGGUGGAGAAUACCGUCCCGACGACCGUCCGGUUGGCCCUUCCCCUAACAACGUUCGUUCGGUCCCUUUUCGUUAGAUGGUACGGGGUUUGGUUUUGGGUAGGUNUCGAGACCUAAACUAAGGGUGGGUAGUAUCUCAUCCUAACGACUAAUAAUCUCGGGAGGGACCACGUAGCGAAGAAGUACUAGUGUAUGGUAAAGGUAGUGUACGUGGGAGGGCAACGGACGCAACAGGGGAGGUAG